Molecule: long non-coding RNA, 863 nt
Organism: Pseudophryne corroboree (corroboree frog)
Lineage: Eukaryota; Metazoa; Chordata; Amphibia; Anura; Myobatrachidae
Exons: 3
Source: RefSeq, a predicted model, not a curated record
GAUCUCGGUCAUGAGAAGGGGGCGGAGCUACACGAAACAGAGGGGGCGGAGCUACAUGGGACCAAGCUGCUAUAUCUUCGGCCAGCCUGUGGUAGAUAAGUUGGGGGAGAACUAUGAGAAGAUUAAAGUAUGGCGUGGGACCACAUCACCAAUUUAGGACACGGGUUGGAAAAAAGACUACUGGGCUGAAGUUGUGCCUUCAGCCCAGUCUAGCAGAUCUCUUCCAGAAGACAAUCCGCAGGACUAAAUUUCAACAUCUGUAUAUUUACAAUUACAAAACAAAACCCCAAAGAACAGGAUCGAGGUCAACACCGGAACAUUUUGCUGGUUGCCACCAAAUGGAAUCAACUUUCCUUUGUCCGCUGGAUAAUAUUUAUAUUUGAAGGAGAUUAUAAAAGACGUAUGAUUAGAGCCCAGCCAACAUUAUCCAAAGGUCAUGUGCCUGAGCCAGAGGGGAAAAAAGUCAAACCAUACGUUCGCUGCUUGAUGUUCCUAGAGCAGAGAUUCCGACUGUUACUGGGCCUCACUAAAUUUAUUACUGAGAAUGAUAAAAUUCUGCUGAAUGGCUGGAAUUGCUCAUUACUUGGUGCGUGGUCUGUUUUUCACAAACACUGACUUAAAGGUCACAGAUCUGGCUCUCAUAUCUACAAGUGAAUCACAGAGAUGGAAAGUUUCUCCAUGGAAAGGGUGCCAGUAGCCUAAUGGAAAGAAUGGAACUUGCUCUUAGUGCAUAUCAGUCAUGCUACAUGGUUGGGUAGAUGAAGGCUUCUCUUUGUGGUUAUCUGACGGUGGUCUUAUGAUCAUCAAUCAAAACCAGUAUUAACCUGCAUCCAAUAUACAUAUUUAUAUGUUUAUAUUCAUUA